GUUGAGGAAUUGUUUCACAAUAGUGUACAGCAUCGAGACUUGUAGAAAUUUCACUCGAAUAAAGAUUUAUCAAAGAAUUCAUCGUGCACGUGUCUACGAUCUUGAUAUUUGUAUGAACAUGAACAUGAAUAUGAACAUUCAUUUACUAUGGAAAAACUUACCUACCUACGUAUUUUCUCAAUCGUAUGUUUUCAGCACGCGUUUAAUGCAUAUAAUUACUUCUUUCUUCUCGUAUGAGGUUGCGGCUCGAGGUGUAGAAAGUUUAACCGAAAAUGAAUGAAGUUGAGAAGAAGGAAAUGCGUAUGAUUGUGUAAAAGGUGAUAACAAAAACGAAUUUUAUAGAAUCACCUUGUAUAUUGUUUACAAUUUUUGUCUCGCUAUCGGGUCGACGACUGAGAAUUGAUUUAUACUGCGACAAAACAAAUAUCAAGCAGUCCGGUCGGACUGCCCCGCCAAGCAAGAAAAAAAACGAACACAAAAAAAAACAACAACAACAACGAUAAUACAAACGUGAUCACAGUCCGACCACUUACUGCUUAAUUCUCUGAACAACUAAGCGUAUUUUCGAUGUUCAAUUUCUCGCGAAUAAAAAAACGUACGAUUCUGAUUUUUUGAUAUGUUGUUGGCAUCAACGAGAACUUUAAUUUGGUAUGCUAACAAACUUUGUACGGUAAAAAAUGAUGUAGAUUGGAGUACCCAAAGUUAGCAUUUUGGGGUAAUUUUUGAAAUCUCAAAUCUUCGUGUCAACAAAAAACUACUGAACCAAUUCAAGUCAAAUUUCGCACACUGGUGUAAAUUAACGAGUUAUUUCUAAAUACAACGUCAGUUUUUAAAAAAAAUUAUUUUUGACCCACUUUUUCUCAAUUUGAAAAUUUCUCUCCCCCCAAAAACACCCCCAAAAUGAAAAUUUUUCGUAGUACCGUAGAAAAGGGUCAUCUACAUCAUAUUCACUAUCAAUGUGCAAAAUUUCAAGUAAAUCGGUUCAUUAGGAGAGGCUGUAGCCUUGUCAACGGAAAUUAUCUUUAUGAUUUUUCAGUGACAGAAAUGAGAUAGUAGUGGAGAAGAAAAAACAAAAUGAAAAUUUUUAGUUGAAAUGUAAAAAAGGGUCAUCUACAUGACUUAAACUACCACUAUACAAAAUUUCAAUUAAAUCCGUUCAUUUGAAGAGGCUGUAGCCUUGUCAACGGAAAGUUCCGGUGGUGUAUUUUACUGAUUCCGGCGGCACUGGUGGAGCUGAACAGAAAAGAAGGAGAAAGCGGUUUGGGCGAAGCCCAAGGGGGGGUGUGGGGGGGACGAAGUCCCCCCCCCCCAACGAACAGAAACAGUAAACACUACUGAUAAUUAGUGAUAAGAAGUAUUUCUUCGUGAAUUGUGAUUUUUAGUUGGUCACCGGUCACUGCUGUCACCGAGGAUAUCAAAUUGAUCAAGAAAACGCAGCUGUUUUCAUUUUCAUGGUUCUGAACUUCCGAAGCUUUGAUUGCUGCCCUGAAUCAAGUAAGUGAUGAACAUUUUUGAACCUGAAAACAAAUUUCUAAUCAUGUGAUGAUUUUCAGGUGAAAUUCAAUGAACAAUUGAUGCCGAUGAAAUCAUGAAUACUUGAAGAAAGUGACAAUGACGAAGAAAUUCAUCAGUCAAGAUAACUAUUUGUAUAUGUGGUGGACAGAAUAUUAAUUCUGCAGGUUGUAUUUGUACGAAGUACUUGAAACAGCAACCAAGUUGCAUUUGGUAAUGGAUACAUGUCCGGUGGUGGUCCUCAUUCAAGGCUACUGUCAGAAGGAAAAAUGAAAGAAAGCAAUGCAGCAAUCAUAUUUGUGCAAGUAUUAUCGGCUAUGAUGCAUUUAGUAAGCAUCGCGUAACAUACACUUAUAAAUAUACAAAGUAUUUUUAUAGUUCUCCAUGUGAGAAUAAAACUUCCUACGUCACUGAAUCUGUAGAUAAUAAUUAAUUAUAUGCCUAAUGUAAUCGAAAGCAUGUGAUAUCUGGCACACAAACAUAGUUAUCUAUACCCAAUUAAUUAAUUAUUCUCCCAGCAUUGAUUACAGAAUCUACGAAGUACAUGUACCUAAGCUAUUUAUUUUUACACCAUCUUUUGUUUAGCACAAUAGAAACAUUAUUCAUUGAGAUAUCAAAGUGGAUACUUAUGUUUUUUGUACGCAGAGAAAAACCACGUCAAAUUAGGAGAUUUUGGAUUUAGUAUGGUUUCAGUAAAAGGAAGUAACGAAGAGCUCUUCACGUUUUUCUGCCAUUUCAGUGGCACGUUAGAAACGCAGUAUUUUAUUAGCGAGUAAUUCCUACGCCGCAGCCAGCUCAUUCGUCGCAGUAUUGUAUUACUUUAAUACGCGAGUUCAUAAUACUAUAAGAAAUUAUAUGUACAUUACAUACUAUGAACAUUUCUAAACUAAGUAUUAGGUAUAUUUCAGGAGGAAUACUAUGCAUAAUAGGUAAGUACCAACAUUAGAUGGAGACGAAAAAUUAUCUGAAAUCGAAAUUAAAGCCAAGAAGCAGCUGUUAGCUUACAGUAUCGAUGAUAAAAUAUUAGAAGAGCAGACAAUAGAAUGUAUUAAAAGCGAUGUGAUGUAAUCGCGACGUAUCAAAUAAUUAUUCAUAAAUUAUCAACUUCGAAUCAUAAUGUACCCCUGCAGUUACAAGAAUUACUGCUAAAAAAAACUCAAAUCACGCUUGUUCACACCUUCUUGUUAUUACAAAAAGAGUACUUAAGUAAUAAGAUGCGUGGACGUGAAAAAAACCUAAUAAAUUUUUUGUAUAAUUUUACAGAAUGUUGCAUUUAUUAUUACGGUACUGCUCGUACUAAUCGUUCUUCUAGGUACUGAUAGAAAUAUUGAAUCAAUAUGUUAGUGAAAUAAAAAUACUUAUUUACAAAUUUUCUACUUUUCAUGAAGGAAUGUGUUUAUUUGCAUGAGAAUGAACAAUAUAACUUAUGUAAAUUUUCUAGCCGUGAAAUCAUUGUACCAUUUUGAUGCGUUAUCUAGCAUUUAAUUGAUCACACAACCCUUGACUAAUACGCAAAUAAUUGCAAUCGUAUAACGCAACGAA
Long non-coding RNA from Planococcus citri (citrus mealybug), 3054 nucleotides. RefSeq lists it as uncharacterized. The transcript is spliced from 2 exons. Lineage: Eukaryota; Metazoa; Arthropoda; Insecta; Hemiptera; Pseudococcidae. The record is from RefSeq and is a predicted model, not a curated record.